Rana temporaria (common frog) is the source of this 220-nucleotide small nucleolar RNA. RefSeq annotates it as small nucleolar RNA U3. NCBI's taxonomy places the organism in Eukaryota, Metazoa, Chordata, Amphibia, Anura, Ranidae. The record is from RefSeq and is a predicted model, not a curated record. The transcript has a single exon.
AGGACUAUACUUUCAGGGAUCAUUUCUGUAGAAUUCAAAGGGAUUCAAAGGGAAAAAUGUGCUCGAAAGUGUCCAAACUCACCUUUCCCAAUGAUGAAUUUUAGGGUUCUUGUCUCGUUAGGACUCCUGCUGGCAGUGCUGCUCUGUGCAGGUGCUGCCACCAUUUGAUGACUUGGUCAUCUUUCUAGGUGGGAAGAUCGUAGGUGGGAGCUCAUUCAGG